AAGUACUGAAGUAUAAUUUUCCAUCUUUCUUUGUAUUUUCUGUGUAGUAACAUUUAACCACUGCUUUGUUUAAACAAUUUGGACUUGUGCAUCUGAAUAAUUGCUGCACUACUUACUCCCAGAUUCUGGGAACUCUGACCUCAGCGUUGUCUCUUGCUUUCUUUGAUUCUUUUCUUUCCUUUUCUUUCUGAAUUUAUACAAACAAAAUUAAGAACCAAGACCCUGAAUCACCAAGUGGAGGCUCCUGCAAUUAGAAGCAACCAGAGUAAGACCUGAAGGAUCUGCCAGUCUGUGCCCUAGGAGCCACCACACACCUGCUGCUCUCUGAGACAGGGACUGCAGUACCCAACAGGGCUGAAAAUCAUGCAGCUGCUCUCUAAAACAAAUAGGAAAAACCAUCAGAAAUGUGAGAUUUCCUAUAAACAUGAAGAUAAAAUCACACCUCUGUGACCUUGACAACGUUAGGGAAAAUAACCUUGAACAAGUGCAAGUGGUUCCUUGAGCCACAGCAAGACGAGGAAAGAGACUUCUGCUAAAGAGGUAACAUCUGUUUGACCCCAAGACAUGGGCAGAAGUAUGGAACAAACAUGACAUUGUCAGCUAAAGAGUUAUGUUCAUGAGCCCAUUAGUUAUUUUGGGAUGUCAGAUGUUAUGAACUUCACUCUAGUUUUACUAUUGUCCUGUGCAGCCUUCGGAACAAGCACUGUCAACCUGUCAUUUGUCCCAUCUAUGCUUAAGUAUAAUACUGUUAUACUGUGUCUUGUAUGAGCAUUUUUUAAACUAUUU
Cyanistes caeruleus (blue tit) is the source of this 786-nucleotide long non-coding RNA. RefSeq lists it as uncharacterized. NCBI's taxonomy places the organism in Eukaryota, Metazoa, Chordata, Aves, Passeriformes, Paridae. The record is from RefSeq and is a predicted model, not a curated record.